CGGGUCAGGUGUUUACCUGUGCAGGUAAUGCUCUGUGCCCCUGCUGCGGCUACUGCUUCAUUUCAUUUAUCACUGUCCUCAUGCUUAAAGCCGAUGUGUUUUCACUGCGGAGCAGCAACUCUGUGCUCCGUUUAGUCCCUGGUCUUCUCUAGCGGUGGUAGAUGACUGCUGCCGUGUGGGUCUCUCUCUCCCUCCCUCUCCCUGUGCAGGUUUGACCUUGAAAACAGGGAACGCUCCUCAGCUGGCCGAAGUCUACAGGUGGCGAUUCAUGUGACUCCUCCAUCAGCUGAUUGGGGCCACUGCUGUUUUGUCUCUGCUGCUAAUCAGUUUCUCUGCUGCUACAUACGACGUUGUCCCCUGCCUUAUCUCUGGCAGCCACUUAUUCCUGGCUGCUCUAUGCUGCUUGGUGCUGGUGCUUUUGCUGACUUUUUGCUACAGCCGGCUUGCAUGGUGGACUGCCGACAUCACACUUUUAACCUGUUUAUCCCUUUCAUUUUAGCCGAAUGUUUGUGAGGAGUUAAUCCCUUGGUUUUGUAUUGCUUGUUUUGUAUUCUGUAUUCUUUUGAUUGGGUAGAUUGUUUUGUUUAUUUUUAACUAUUUCCUGCUUUGUUGUAUAUUGUUUGGUACAUUUUGGGUUCAUUAUUUCCGUUUUAACUUUUUUGUUUCCUUCUCAGUGGCUGCAGGCUGGUGGUGGUGCUGGUGACGUGGGUGGUGGUGUCCCUCCUUCUUGUGUGCUGUGCUUCCUUAGAUUUGGUGAUACCACGUGCGUCUGGGUGAACCCUCUUCCUUUAAUUUAGUUUUGUUGAGUCCCGUUCCACCUCACCUGCUCUUUCUCCACCAGUAGGCCUCAGCCCCUGAUUAGGUUAUUUCUUUGUUUAUUUGGGGUGAAUGUUCAUUUUUAUGAUAACAUAUUACUUUAUUAAAUAAAGUGUAUUUGUAAUCUGGGAACCACGUGUCUUGCCUGUCGAGUGGAACGAACCUGUGUCUUUGAUCAAUGUAAAAUAAUAUAUUAUAAUUCCUUGGGUGCAAUUCCCAAGGUGGCGUUGUCGAGCAACCUAAGAUUCACAUUGAGAGCCUCCACGCCGCCACAAUAGCUAACAUUAUUAAACAUUUAGAAGAUGUAAAGCUCUCUAAAAUAUGUUUGUUAAUAAUUGCUGUUACAGCUUAACUUUGACUUUGAGUCAUAGGAUUCAUGAAUGUUGCAAACAACCACUGGAAAUUCCUGUAUCUCUACAAGUUGAACCAAAACGUGUUUGUCAUGGAUCCCUUGGGUCAUGAGGACAAAGAGUCAGGCGUUGCUGCGGAACGGUUUCGCCAGUUCUUCAGGAGGCGGCAGAACCGCUAACAGAAGACUGACUGGGUGGAUGUAAAGUGGCAGCAAGCCACAAUCAAGCACAGCAUUCAAAAGGAUGGUUGUAACUGUGGUGUUCUCGUCAUGAAGAUGGCUAGACAUGGUGGAGGCUUUUCCCGUUGUCCCCCAGGGAAUAGAAAUACCCACAUCACUAAAGGACUUAAAAGACCGGAGGAUCACCAUGGCAAAAACCAUACUGCAGUGCUCUGGUUUGUAGAAUGAACAAUGAUAAUAAAAGCUGGUACUGUAGAGUAACUUCUUCAAAAACAGUUAUUAUUAUUAGUCUUAAUUAUCCAUUUUAUUUUAUUCGUUACUCUGGCUCAUGCCCCAUCCACCAACAUGGAGGGAGCAGGAUAAAUGGCAUGUGAUGGAGUUUGCGUAUAUUUGUGUUUUAUAUCCAUUAUUUACCCCACCUUUAAUCAACAGUGAAAGUAAUUUGUAGAAUCACUAUAUUUUAGUCUUCAGCGAAACAGACCAUUGUUCCAGUUGCGGCCCGGAGAAUCCCAAUGGACAGAAGGGAAACACAAAAUGGGUUGAAUGCACUAAAUGCAAGAGGUGGUACCAUCCGCCCUGCAUGGCCAUGUCGGAUGAAGAAUGGGAAAAAGAGGAAGUAGCAUUGAAAUGGAACUGUGGCCUUUGCUGAUUUACCGUACAAGGUGUCUACGUUACAUAUCUAACUUUGAAUGUGCCUGGUAUGUGUGUAAUGUAUAAAGUGAACAUAGAAUAGAUAGAAUUCCUUCCAAUUACUGGCUGUAAAAUUCAUUUUAGUCUAAUCAAUUUGCUUUAGCAACUCUCAAUUAAUGCUAAACUACCUGAAAGGUUGUAUGUUUCAUGCCAAAAUAAAUAUUUGCAUGCUUGAUCUAAACUAAGAGCAGCAAAUUCUGAAGAAAAAUAAGGCAAAAUAAAAAAUUAGAAAUCCAUGUAAAUGAUGCUCACUGUUAUUAUUCUGUCUAAGAAUCGUGGAAAAGUGUUUUAAAGGGAAGCAAGAAGCUGUGAAAUCUUCAAUGGGAGUUUAUGAACACAUCGGUUUGGUGGUUUGGUGUUGAUAUCUUUAAAAACAAGGGAGGCAUUACAAAAAAAUAAUUCUUUGUGCUAAUCCACAAUGAUUUUCAAUUUUGAAAGCAUGUCUCGUGUUCAAGGUUCAAGGUUUUUUAUUAAAUGUCCCAAGAGGGCAAAUUAGUUCACAGCGAAGGAGGUAGUGGCUAAAAACACACGACAGAACAAGACAUCAAUGUUUUGUCUUUUUAGUGGACUCGGCAUUAAUAUGUGGUUCAUCCGACUCCCUUGAUAUUGCUCGAUUAACAAAUGCAUUCCUUUUUAACAGGGAACUAUGUAGCCAAUCAAAUGUCUUCCUCGUUUUCAGCAAAUCACAUGAGCACUGUACUUGACUCUGUAUUUAAUAUUUUCUAAAGUUCAGAGAUUUUUCCCUGUAAUUAUACCAAAAGUUUUGAUUCCUACAAAAACCGAUUAUUAGUGUGAUGAAAUAAAAAGCUGUAUAUAUUACACAAUUUUAACUACAAGAUUCGGCUUGGGAACAUUUUCUGGCAGGUGUUACUCAUGAUUAUUAUCAACACAUUUUAAAGCAUAUAAAUAUAAUUUUCUG
This is a long non-coding RNA of Gadus morhua (Atlantic cod), 2954 nucleotides long. RefSeq lists it as uncharacterized. NCBI's taxonomy places the organism in Eukaryota, Metazoa, Chordata, Actinopteri, Gadiformes, Gadidae. The transcript has 7 exons. The record is from RefSeq and is a predicted model, not a curated record.